GUCUCUUGUUCUCCUGCACUUGAUCGAGAAAAUCUUUCGCCUUUUACUAAAGAUUUCCGUGCAGAAGGACAGUUUAUGAGCCUACUUUAAUUUUUGGAACCUCGUCUUUUGACGAGGG
Molecule: small nuclear RNA, 118 nt
Filed under: Enterobius vermicularis (human pinworm)
Lineage: Eukaryota; Metazoa; Nematoda; Chromadorea; Rhabditida; Oxyuridae
Description: U5 spliceosomal RNA
Rfam family: U5 spliceosomal RNA
About the family: U5 RNA is a component of both types of known spliceosome. The precise function of this molecule is unknown, though it is known that the 5' loop is required for splice site selection and p220 binding, and that both the 3' stem-loop and the Sm site are important for Sm protein binding and cap methylation.
Source: Rfam by way of RNAcentral